GGCAAGCAAUGUCAUCGCUGAUUUCUUGAAGAAGAGGUUUUAGAGGCUUAAGGAUAUGAGGUUUUGAGGCGGUAUGACAGUGUCUAAAAGAGGACAGUGAAUGAACUAGGAAACUGAAAGUGUAACUGCCCUAUAACAUUAAGGGUCUACUUGAAGUUUUCGAAGGGACUGAAUAAGUUGGGGAAGCAACAUGCUUUAAUGGUUAAAGGAAUACACCCUGGAGCUGAAGUACCUGGGGCAAGUUACUUGCCCCUUCCAUAACCAGGUUUCUUCAUCCAUAAAACAAGGAUAUAAUAAAAGCUGCAACCUCACAGGGUUGUUGAGGAGUAAAUGAGAGACGAGGGUCUCCCUAUGUUUCCUGGCUGGUCUUGAACUCUUAGGCUCAAGCAAUCCUCCCACCUUGGCCUUCCAAAGUGCUGGGAUUACAGGUGUGAGCCAACAUGCCCAGCCACAUUUCUCAGCUGUGAUGUGAGAAGGAUUUGGCAUCUCUUUCUUCUGAAAGUUCUAGCAAUGCUGGAUACUUACAUCAAUAUUGACAGGUUCUAUUGUGUUUAUAUGCACAUUGGGAGCUGAUGAGGAUCGGUCUCGUUGCCCAAAUUGAUUUCGAUGAUCUUCAUCUGCUGGUCGGAAGGGCUGUGGAAUUGGAAUGGAUUUUGAAGGAGACGGACUGGUGAGAAUUUGGGGCCUGGAAAAAUGAAGUCAUUGGAAGAUAAGAUUCAGAGUAACGAUAUAAAGGAGUUGAAUGAAAAUCCAGAACAAUAUUGAAAAAUCCUUUUCAAAUUCAGAAGAUGAUCCUCAGAGUGCCAAUAUCUCUCAUAUUCUGGAUUUUUUAUCAUGCCCAUUAUUGAUAACAGAGACACAAGAGAAUCAUAUAUUAACCACUAAAGCAAAUAUUUUUGAAAACUGCUAUUUGGAAAACCACCAAAAUGUUACAUUUGUAUGCUAUUUGGAAAAUCACCAAAAUAUGUUACAUACCUAUUUCGGUAUGGUAGCUAAAUAACAUAGUCUAUGAUAUCUCACCCUAAAAUGAACCUGGCACUCACAGAGAACACUAAAGUUUUGAGACUAGAUUGUAAACACUUGGAAGGAUGUAGCCCCUCAGAAAGGGUAUCCUAGGAGUGGGGAAAUGAGUGUCACUUGAUAGAUGAGGUAAGCUGUCUCACUUAACUCCAUCAGGACCAAUGAAUGGCUAAGUGCCAAUAAGCUCUCUUCACAUAUUGGUUAUCAUUCCACCCUAUUUUAUGCAAACUAAUUAUUAGUGGUUACUAAGACACAGCUAGAAAGACAAUGUUGAGGGAAUAAAAAGACACUUUUGUGAGACGUGAGGAAUGGGAAAAAAAUAUAGUAGGAAAGGAAUGAAUAAAGGUUUGAAGAGCCAAGGAAGCCUAACAGUGAAAGUCAGUCUCUGAAUAAAACAUGUCAGAAUC
RNAcentral lists this long non-coding RNA (1427 nucleotides) under Homo sapiens (human). Its description in RNAcentral is "novel transcript antisense to BRAF". Lineage: Eukaryota; Metazoa; Chordata; Mammalia; Primates; Hominidae. The record is from RNAcentral.